UACGUAGGGUGCUAACGUUGUUCGGAAUCACUGGGCAUAAAGAGCGCGUAGGCGGUCUGAUAAGUCAGGUGUGAAAUCCCCCGGCUCAACCGGGGAACUGCAUUUGAAACUGGCGGGCUUGAGUGCGGCAGAGGGGGGUGGAAUUCCGCGUGUAGCAGUGAAAUGCGUAGAGAUGCGGAGGAACACCGAUGGCGAAGGCAGCCCCCUGGGCCGACACUGACGCUCAGGCACGAAAGCGUGGGGAGCAAACAGG
RNAcentral lists this ribosomal RNA (253 nucleotides) under uncultured bacterium. Its description in RNAcentral is "partial 16S ribosomal RNA". It matches the Rfam family "Bacterial small subunit ribosomal RNA", at positions 524 to 776 of the family's 1533-position model. The record is from RNAcentral.